This is a long non-coding RNA of Bombina bombina (fire-bellied toad), 348 nucleotides long. RefSeq lists it as uncharacterized. The record is from RefSeq and is a predicted model, not a curated record. The transcript is spliced from 3 exons. Lineage: Eukaryota; Metazoa; Chordata; Amphibia; Anura; Bombinatoridae.
UAUAAUUUAAUAUUGUUAUGAAAUGUUUGUUUAUGUGUAUUAUUUUAGUUUAUCUUAUAGUCAAUUUUUCUUUGAUUUGUAUGUAUAUUAUAGAACAACAUGAACAGGCGUUAGAACCAGAAUUAGAACAUGCCUAGGAGGGACCUAUCUUUCGAGUCUGAAUCAACUUCACAGGAGCCACAACCUUCCACAUCACGUGAUAUAUCAUGCAGAGAAGAAACUGUCAGUGUACGAGGAUUACUGGAGACAAUGCAGGAUUCUUCAAUAACAUUAUUUGAUGAUGAAAUGUAAAUAAAUUUGGAACCACUUGUGGAGGACACUGAUGAUGAGGAUGAAACACAAGUAGAG